CCUACGGGAGGCUGCAGUGGGGAAUCUUGCGCAAUGGGCGAAAGCCUGACGCAGCGACGCCGCGUGAGGGAUGACGGCCUUCGGGUUGUAAACCUCUUUCAGCGCCGACGAAGCCCCCCCUUUUCGGGGGGUGACGGUAGGCGCAGAAGAAGCACCGGCUAACUACGUGCCAGCAGCCGCGGUAAUACGUAGGGUGCAAGCGUUGUCCGGAAUCAUUGGGCGUAAAGAGCUCGUAGGCGGCCUGUCGCGUCGGAUGUGAAAACCCGCAGCUCAACUGCGGGCCGGCAUCCGGUACGGGCAGGCUGGAGUGCGGCAGGGGAGACUGGAAUUCCUGGUGUAGCGGUGAAAUGCGCAGAUAUCAGGAGGAACACCGGUGGCGAAGGCGGGUCUCUGGGCCGAUACUGACGCUGAGGAGCGAAAGCGUGGGGAGCGAACAGGAU
RNAcentral lists this ribosomal RNA (440 nucleotides) under uncultured bacterium. RNAcentral's name for it is "partial 16S ribosomal RNA". It matches the Rfam family "Bacterial small subunit ribosomal RNA", at positions 338 to 778 of the family's 1533-position model. The record is from RNAcentral.